RNAcentral lists this ribosomal RNA (482 nucleotides) under uncultured bacterium. RNAcentral's name for it is "partial 16S ribosomal RNA". It matches the Rfam family "Bacterial small subunit ribosomal RNA", at positions 28 to 507 of the family's 1533-position model. The record is from RNAcentral.
GACGAACGCUGGCGGCGUGCUUAACACAUGCAAGUCGAACGAUGAAGAAGAGAAACGCGAACUUCGGUUCAAAUUUCACUUCGGAUUAGUGGCAGACGGGUGAGUAACGCGUGAGCAACCUACCUCUUACAAAGGGAUAGCCUCGGGAAACCGUGAUUAAUACCAUAUGACACAUUCAUAAGGCAUCUUAAGAAUGUUAAAGCUACGGCGGUAAGAGAUGGGCUCGCGUCCCAUUAGCUAGUUGGUGAGGUAACGGCCCACCAAGGCGACGAUGGGUAACCGGCCUGAGAAGGUGAACGGUCACAUUGGAACUGAGACACGGUCCAAACUCCUACGGGAGGCAGCAGUGGGGAAUAUUGCACAAUGGAGGGAACUCUGAUGCAGCGACGCCGCGUGAGAGAUGAAGGAAUUCGUUUCGUAAAGCUCUGUUCUAUGGGAAGAAAAGGACUGUACCAUAGGAGAAAGCCCCGGCUAAAUACGUG